Molecule: small nucleolar RNA, 146 nt
Organism: Rattus rattus (black rat)
Lineage: Eukaryota; Metazoa; Chordata; Mammalia; Rodentia; Muridae
Product: small nucleolar RNA SNORA48
Exons: 1
Source: RefSeq, a predicted model, not a curated record
UACCUGCUUGGCAACAGGCAAAGGGACACCUUGCUGAUGGUGGCAUUCUUCUAUCAGUCAAGGGCAGAGCAAAAGGCAGCCCUUUGUUCAUCUUAGCUUGUUGCCUGGCUCCAUAGCCAAUGAUGAUUUGUGCCUAGGACUCAUAA